This 495-nucleotide ribosomal RNA is filed under the name uncultured bacterium. Its description in RNAcentral is "partial 16S ribosomal RNA". It matches the Rfam family "Bacterial small subunit ribosomal RNA", at positions 28 to 507 of the family's 1533-position model. The record is from RNAcentral.
GACGAACGCUGGCGGCGUGCCUAAUACGUGCAAGUAGAACGCUGAAGGAGGAGCUUGCUUCUCCGGAUGAGUUGCGAACGGGUGAGUAACGCGUAGGUAACCUGCCUGGUAGCGGGGGAUAACUAUUGGAAACGAUAGCUAAUACCGCAUAACAGUAGAUAUUGCAUGAUAUCUGCUUGAAAGGUGCAAUUGCAUCACUACCAGAUGGACCUGCGUUGUAUUAGCUAGUUGGUGAGGUAACGGCUCACCAAGGCGACGAUACAUAGCCGACCUGAGAGGGUGAUCGGCCACACUGGGACUGAGACACGGCCCAGACUCCUACGGGAGGCAGCAGUAGGGAAUCUUCGGCAAUGGACGGAAGUCUGACCGAGCAACGCCGCGUGAGUGAAGAAGGUUUUCGGAUCGUAAAGCUCUGUUGUAAGAGAAGAACGAGUGUGAGAGUGGAAAGUUCACACUGUGACGGUAUCUUACCAGAAAGGGACGGCUAACUACGUG